ACCUGAGAGAUCAGGUUUCCCCUUCGGGGGCAAAAUGACAGGUGGUGCAUGGUUGUCGUCAGCUCGUGUCGUGAGAUGUUGGGUUAAGUCCCGCAACGAGCGCAACCCUCGUUCUAUGUUGCCAGCGCGUUAUGGCGGGGACUCAUAGGAGACUGCCGGGGUCAACUCGGAGGAAGGUGGGGAUGACGUCAAAUCAUCAUGCCCCUUAUGUCUUGGGCUUCACGCAUGCUACAAUGGCCGGUACAAAGGGCUGCGAUACCGUAAGGUGGAGCGAAUCCCAAAAAGCCGGUCUCAGUUCGGAUUGAGGUCUGCAACUCGACCUCAUGAAGUCGGAGUCGCUAGUAAUCGCAGAUCAGCAACGCUGCGGUGAAUACGUUCCCGGGUCUUGUACACACCGA
RNAcentral lists this ribosomal RNA (398 nucleotides) under uncultured bacterium. RNAcentral describes it as "bacterial SSU rRNA". It matches the Rfam family "Bacterial small subunit ribosomal RNA", at positions 997 to 1393 of the family's 1533-position model. The record is from RNAcentral.